Molecule: ribosomal RNA, 487 nt
Filed under: uncultured bacterium
Lineage: Bacteria
Description: partial 16S ribosomal RNA
Rfam family: Bacterial small subunit ribosomal RNA
Source: RNAcentral
CUAAGAAUAUUCCGCAAUGGACGGAAGUCUGACGGAGCGACGCCGCGUGGAUGACGAAGGCCGAAAGGUUGUAAAGUUCUUUUGCUGGGGAAGAAUAACCGCAGGAGGGAAUGCCUGUGGGAUGACAAGAACCGGCGAAUAAGCCCCGGCCAACUACGUGCCAGCAGCCGCGGUAACACGUAGGGGGGCGAGCGUUGUUCGGAAUUACUGGGCGUAAAGGGCAUGUAGGCGGCUUGGAAAGCCUGGCGUGAAAGUCUGCAGCUUAACUGCAGGGGUGCGCUGGGAACUGCUGAGCUUGAGUGACGGAGAGGGAGCUGGAAUUCCUGGUGUAGGGGGUGAAAGUCUGUAGAUAUCAGGAAGAACACCGAUGGCGAAGGCAAGCUCCUGGCCGAUGACUGACGCUGAGGUGCGAAAAGUGUGGGGCAUCAAACAGGAUUAGAUACCCUGGUAGUCCACACAGUCAACGAUGUGCACUAGGUGCUGGGGG